AUGGCCCUGCGAGUCGAGGCCCUGGUUGCCACCGACACCGCUGCCGCCGAGGGCAGGCGUGCCAAGGACGACGUAUGGGUGGCGGCGGAGGAGGGAGACAUGUCUGGAGCCAGCGCCGGCCGGCCGCUGCUGUUCCGGACCAUGAAGGUCAAGGGAAGCAUCCUGCAUCCUUACAGGUUCUUGAUUCUGGUGCGCUUGGUCGCCAUCAUAGCAUUCUUCGCGUGGCGCGUAGAGCACAGGAACCACGAUGGCAUGUGGCUCUGGGCCACGUCCAUGGUUGCGGACGCCUGGUUCGGUUUCUCAUGGCUCCUCAACCAGCUCCCCAAGCUCAACCCCAUCAAACGUGUGCCGGACCUUGCCGCCCUGGCGGACCUUCACGGCGAAGCCGUUCUUCCAGGAAUCGACGUCUUUGUCACGACCGUCGACCCCGUGGAUGAACCCGUCAUGUACACGGUGAACACCAUCCUCUCUAUCCUCGCCGCCGACUACCCCGUUGACAAGUACGCCUGCUACCUCUCCGACGACGGUGGCUCAUUGGUACACUAUGAGGCGAUGAUCCAAAUUGUUCAUUUCGCUGCUUUGUGGGUCCCGUUUUGCCGGAAGCAUUGCAUCGAGCCAAGGUCCCCAGAGAACUAUUUUGGGAUGAAAACCCGGCCGUAUGUCGGGGGUAUGGCAGGAGAGUUCAUGAGUGAUCACAGGCGUGUCCGCAGAGAAUACGGUGAGUUCAAGGUGAUAAUAGAUUCCCUUUCUACAACCAUCCGCCGACGGUCUGAUGCCUACAACAAAAGAGAUGAUGGUGUACAUGCCACUUGGAUGGCUGAUGGGACACAAUGGGCGGGUACAUGGAUUGAGCAAGCUGACAACCAUCGAAGAGGACAACAUGCUGGAAUUGUUCAGGUCAUGCUAGACCAUCCAAGUUGUAAACCACAACUUGGAUCUUCGGCGAGAACCAACAAUCCAAUUGACUUAAGCAACGUUGACACAAGACUCCCCAUGCUCGUAUACAUUUCCCGAGAGAAGCAUCCCGGUUAUGAUAACCAAAAGAAGGCAGGCGCCAUGAACGUGAUGCUCCGCGUCUCCGCGUUACUCUCCAAUGCGCCCUUCGUCAUCAACUUUGACUGCGACCACUACAUCAACAACUCGCAAGCUCUCCGCGCCCCUAUGUGCUUCAUGCUCGACCCUCGUGAUGGUCAGAACACGGCCUUCGUCCAGUUCCCACAACGCUUCGACGAUGUCGACCCGACAGAUCGCUACUCCAACCACAAUCGUGUCUUCUUCGACGGCACCAUGCUCUCGCUCAACGGCCUCCAAGGACCUACCUACCUCGGCACCGGUACCAUGUUCCGUCGUGUCGCACUCUAUGGCAUGGAGCCACCAUGCUAUAGAGCGGAGAACAUCAAGCUGGUAGGUAAGGCCGCUGAGUUGGGUAACUCAACGCCAUUCCUGAACUCAAUACCGGAUGGCGCAAUCCAAGAGCGGUCUAUCACCCCGGUGUUGGUCGACGAGGGGCUUAGCAAUGACAUAGCCACCCUGAUGACAUGCACUUAUGAGGACGGUAGUUCAUGGGGGAGAGACGUUGGGUGGGUGUACAACAUCGCGACGGAGGAUGUGGUGACCGGAUUCCGCAUCCACCGACAAGGGUGGCGUUCCAUGUAUUGCUCCAUGGAGCCAGCCGCGUUCCGCGGAACGGCACCGAUCAACCUCACAGAGCGCCUCUACCAGGUGCUCCGGUGGUCGGGCGGCUCCCUCGAGGUGUUUUUCUCCCACAGCAACGCUCUCAUCGCCAGCCGCCGGCUCAACCCUCUGCAGCGCAUCGCUUACCUCAACAUGUCAAUCUACCCAAUCGCCACGAUGUUCAUCCUGGCAUACAGCUUCUUCCCGGUGAUGUGGCUCUUCUCCGAGCAGUCGUACUACAUCCAGAGGCCGUUCGGCACGUUCAUCAUGUACCUCGUCGUUGUCAUAGCGAUGAUGCACGUGAUCGGCAUGUUCGAGGUGAAAUGGGCGGGGAUCACGCUGCAAGACUGGUGGCGCAACGAGCAGUUCUACAUGAUCGCGGCGACGGGCGUGUACCCGACGGCGGUGCUGUACAUGGCGCUGAAGCUCAUCAGGGGGAAGGGGAUAUACUUCAGGCUCACGUCCAAGCAGACGGAGGCCUGCUCCGACGAGAAGUUCGCCGACCUGUACACUGUGCGGUGGGUGCCGUUGCUGAUCCCGACCGUGGCGGUGCUCAUCGUGAACGUCACAGCCGUCGGGGCGGCGAUAGGCAAGGCAGCGACAUGGGGCUUUUUCACGGACCAGGCGUGGCACGCGGUGCUCGGGAUGGUGUUCAACGUGGGUACCCUCGUGCUCCUCUACCCGUUUGCACUCGGCAUCAUGGGGCAAUGGGGGAAGAGACCAGGCAUACUGUUGGUCAUGUUGGUCAUGGCCAUUGGCACCGUCGGCCUCUUGUAUGUCACACUCCAGCAGGAUGGUCACAGGAUGUCGUUCCUAACCAGGCCAUCUGGGUAG
RNAcentral lists this ribosomal RNA (2508 nucleotides) under Triticum aestivum (bread wheat). Its description in RNAcentral is "partial small subunit ribosomal RNA". Lineage: Eukaryota; Viridiplantae; Streptophyta; Magnoliopsida; Poales; Poaceae. The record is from RNAcentral.